CCUAGCCCAGUGUCCGGCUCCAUGGCCUGGAUGCCCGGCUGGCUGCCCUGAUCCUUAUCGGUUCUCUACGCUGUGCGUUCUGCAGUGCCAGCCUUCCCGCCUCAGCCCGUGCCAAGGCAUGGUCCCCAGCAGCACCCUGGCAGGGGGCGAGUUUGAGGACGCCCAUCUGGGAGGCCACUGCUGUCCAGGAGAACAUGGCUCCUUCUGAGGAGGAGGCUACGAAGAGCCCCUUGAGGAAGGGCUAUCGUGAGAGCGAUGAGGACUCUGGGCACGCUGAAGGUGAAACAAAUGUUCUUCAGGAGAAACCCACAGGAGCUCAAGUUUGCUCUGGAUCUGAAAGAAAACAGAGAAAGAGGAAGAAAGCUGAAGAUGUGGCCGGGACUUAAGAGAUGGCGCAGAGGUUAAGAACCCUUCCAGAGACCCGGGUUCAAUUCCCAGCACCCACAUGGUGGCUCCGUACCAUCCAUCCAUCUCCAGUUCCAGGGGAUUCAAUGCCCUCUUCUGGCCUCUGCAGGCAGCAGGCAAGCAAGUGACAAACCAGGCACGCAGGAUCUGAACUGGAAACACCCUGUUAUAAAGGAAGGAAACUAUAAGGCCUCCUUGUGAAGACAAUUGUCAUACCAUUCUGCCCUUCCGGCUCUGCAAGGAGAACAGGCAUCAUCAGGUGGCCUUCCCAAAAGGGAAGACAGUUGUCAAGAGUCCCUUCCACAACUCUGCCGAAGAACUUCAUGCUUGUGGGCCUUCACUCCUGAAGUUUUUGUUUUGUUUUUUUUUCUUCGAGAUUGGGUUUCUCUGUGUAUCAACAGCUCUAGCUGUCCUGGAAUAAACUCUGUUGCCUGGCCUGGCCUUGAACUCACAGAGAUCUGCCUGCCUCUGCCUCCCGAGUGCUGGGAUUAAAGGCGUGCGCCACCACCGCUCAGCUGCACUCCUGAAGUUUUAUGUAGUGGUCAAAAUACAUGCGCUAUUCUGUG
Long non-coding RNA from Mesocricetus auratus (golden hamster), 971 nucleotides. RefSeq lists it as uncharacterized. The transcript has 3 exons. NCBI's taxonomy places the organism in Eukaryota, Metazoa, Chordata, Mammalia, Rodentia, Cricetidae. The record is from RefSeq and is a predicted model, not a curated record.